This 737-nucleotide ribosomal RNA is filed under the name uncultured bacterium. RNAcentral describes it as "bacterial SSU rRNA". It matches the Rfam family "Bacterial small subunit ribosomal RNA", at positions 28 to 776 of the family's 1533-position model. The record is from RNAcentral.
AAUGAACGUGGGCGGCGUGGAUUAGGCAUGCAAGUCGAGCGAGAAAUUUACUUCGGUAAAUGGACAGCGGCGAAAGGGACAGUAAUGUGUAGGUAUCUACCCUCUGAUCUGGGAUAGCUGCGGGAAACUGCAGGUAAUACCGGAUAAUGUCUUCGGACCAAAGGUGUGAUUCCGUCUGAGGAGGGGCCUGCAUCCUAUUAGCUUGUUGGUGAGGUAAUGGCUCACCAAGGCAACGAUGGGUAGCGGGUGUGAGAGCAUGACCCGCGUCAUUGGGACUGAGACACUGCCCAGACAUCUACGGAUGGCUGCAGUCGAGAAUCUUCGGCAAUGGGCGAAAGCCUGACCGAGCGACGCCGCGUGCGGGAUGAAGGCCCUCGGGUUGUAAACCGCUGUCGUUGGGGAGGAAAUGCAUGAGGGCUAUCCCUCUUGUUUGACCGAUCCAAGGAGGAAGUACGGGCUAAGUUCGUGCCAGCAGCCGCGGUAAGACGAACCGUACGAACGUUAUUCGGAAUUACUGGGCUUAAAGGGUGCGUAGGCUGCACGGAAAGUUGGGUGUGAAAGCCCUCAGCUCAACUGAGGAAUUGCAUCCAAAACUGCCGUGCUUGAGGGAGACAGAGGUGAGCGGAACUCAAGGUGGAGCGGUGAAAUGCGUUGAUAUCUUGAGGAACACCGGUGGCGAAGGCGGCUCACUGGGUCUCUUCUGACGCUGAGGCACGAAAGCUAAGGUAGCAAACGGG